This 809-nucleotide ribosomal RNA is filed under the name Streptomyces wuyuanensis. Its description in RNAcentral is "bacterial SSU rRNA". It matches the Rfam family "Bacterial small subunit ribosomal RNA", at positions 76 to 898 of the family's 1533-position model. The record is from RNAcentral. Lineage: Bacteria; Bacillati; Actinomycetota; Actinomycetes; Kitasatosporales; Streptomycetaceae.
UCCUUCGGGAGGGGAUUAGUGGCGAACGGGUGAGUAACACGUGGGCAAUCUGCCCUGCACUCUGGGACAAGCCCUGGAAACGGGGUCUAAUACCGGAUACGACCACUGAGGGCAUCCUCGGUGGUGGAAAGCUCCGGCGGUGCAGGAUGAGCCCGCGGCCUAUCAGCUUGUUGGUGGGGUGAUGGCCUACCAAGGCGACGACGGGUAGCCGGCCUGAGAGGGCGACCGGCCACACUGGGACUGAGACACGGCCCAGACUCCUACGGGAGGCAGCAGUGGGGAAUAUUGCACAAUGGGCGAAAGCCUGAUGCAGCGACGCCGCGUGAGGGAUGACGGCCUUCGGGUUGUAAACCUCUUUCAGCAGGGAAGAAGCGAAAGUGACGGUACCUGCAGAAGAAGCGCCGGCUAACUACGUGCCAGCAGCCGCGGUAAUACGUAGGGCGCGAGCGUUGUCCGGAAUUAUUGGGCGUAAAGAGCUCGUAGGCGGCUUGUCACGUCGGUUGUGAAAGCCCGGGGCUUAACCCCGGGUCUGCAGUCGAUACGGGCAGGCUAGAGUUCGGUAGGGGAGAUCGGAAUUCCUGGUGUAGCGGUGAAAUGCGCAGAUAUCAGGAGGAACACCGGUGGCGAAGGCGGAUCUCUGGGCCGAUACUGACGCUGAGGAGCGAAAGCGUGGGGAGCGAACAGGAUUAGAUACCCUGGUAGUCCACGCCGUAAACGUUGGGCACUAGGUGUGGGCGACAUUCCACGUCGUCCGUGCCGCAGCUAACGCAUUAAGUGCCCCGCCUGGGGAGUACGGCCGCAAGGCUAAA